GGUUUGAUUUUUUUCUCCCCAAUCGCAACUUUCUCUACGAGAUUUUAACCCGCGACAAUUUUUUUUCUUUUUUACUAAUCAAGAGAGAUUGUAAAGCGGAGAAAGAGAUGAAGAAGAGCAAAUUCAUCACCAUCGCUGGUCUAUCUCCACCGAGCAAUCCGCUCAAUUUUACAUCUCUCUUUUGGUUGUUGUCAUUAGGCGAGCUUCUUGAAUUUUAAAAUCUUGACAAAUUUUUUUUAAAAUGUUAAGAAUACGAAAUCUUUUGUUUGUUACUCCCCUCGUUAGAUAUCUUGGGGGAGUCAUACUUGGAAUUGGUGGUCUUGUAGCAUAUCUUGUUAGAGCAUAUGGUGGCCUUACAAUAUGCUGCUCUUACUUUGUCAAGUCCAAAGUUUAAAUUGGGAGUCGAGGUGACAUUUGAUCUUUUAGGUGUUCUUUACAAUCAGCUCCAAGAAAUCCAAGAAAGACUAAGAUAGUGGUAAAGAUGGUACGUACUGCCAUGGCUUAUUUUAAGGUUGAAUUUGAUCCGGUUGAGAAAUUAGAGGAUGCUAUCAAAUGAAACUAUACGUGCGAUGAAGCCGAUUGUUUUGUUCUCUCUGAAUUUGCGAAUCGAGAUUCACCUACUUAGAAGGUGAAGCUAACCGAGUUUUUAAUAUCAUUGAAGUUGACGACCAGACGAACACACAUGCCCCAAAAGAGGAUUCAUCCUGCAUAUGGGAGUGACUAAAAAGAAAGAACUGGUUUAGGUUUCUAUAA
Long non-coding RNA from Camelina sativa (false flax), 753 nucleotides. RefSeq lists it as uncharacterized. The record is from RefSeq and is a predicted model, not a curated record. Lineage: Eukaryota; Viridiplantae; Streptophyta; Magnoliopsida; Brassicales; Brassicaceae.